This 5295-nucleotide long non-coding RNA is filed under the name Homo sapiens (human). RNAcentral describes it as "non-protein coding lnc-LGMN-2:3". The stretch from base 2173 to 2238 matches the Rfam family "mir-1255 microRNA precursor family". The record is from RNAcentral. Lineage: Eukaryota; Metazoa; Chordata; Mammalia; Primates; Hominidae.
AUUCGGCAGCGGCUCGCGGCCCGGAGCCCCCUGGGGCACACGGAGGCCCGGGCGGCCGCGCCCCCGGGGCCGGGCCUCGGGGCGGGGGGUGCUGGGGCCAAGGCGCCGCACGGGCGCCCAACCUCGGGGUGCCGCCUCCACAGGCUGUGGCUGGGGCUGGGGCGCGGGAGGCCCGCGGGGCUUCGGAGAGGGAAACUUAGAGAAAAGUCUUCCACUUGGCUUGGGGCCGCAGGGGAAGGAAGACGCCCUCCGCCUGUGCCGGCGCCGACCGCGGGCCGGCAGGUGGGGAGGCCCAGAGCUGGCGGGGAGUUCGUCCCACUCGGAGCCACAGCCUUGCCCGAGGGAGCCUCGAAAUCGUUCAAGGGCAACCUCAGACCAGAGCCAGGGCGCCUCCUCCACAUUCCUGACAGAUGUGCACGCCGCCUCCUCUUGGAUGCUUCCCGUGACAAGGAGCUCACUCCUCAACAAGGCGGACUGCUCGUCCAUCAAGCCUGGCAUCUAAUUCACCUGUGCCGGGUACCGCAGAUGGAGAACGCCAGACAGCUGACACAAAUGCAAGACCCACAGCAACCCCAGGUCCUAGACCUCUUUCCCUCCUCUACUGAGAGAUCAUCCUGCAACUCCCAAGAGUACAUGUCUCUAUUGCAGCUAUACUGAAACUGAUCAGCACCUCACAGUCCCAGUUCCCGCUUCUCAGGAGGAGUAAUCUCAUGGACCCAUCUUGGCUGUGAGGGGUGGGCAAACUCAGAGAGAGGGUACUAAGUUGCUGAGAAGACAAACAGCUUUCCAAGCAGCCCCCAAACUGUAUUAUUGGGGAAGCUUCUUAUCUGGUGGAAGCUACUUCAGGGAACACACAAAUGAUAAGAAAGAAAAACAGUCUUAUUGCUAAGUUGGAAAAAGUUUGAGUGGUCUGGAUAGAAGAACAAACCAGCCAUAACAGUCCCUUCAGCCAAAGCCUAGUCAGAGCAAGGUCUUAACUCUCUUCUAUUCUCUGAAGCCUGAGAGAGGUGAGGAAGCUGCAGAAGAGAAGUUUGAUGCUAGCAGAGGUUAGUUCAUGAGGUUUAAGAAAAGAAGUCAUCCUAUAACAUAAAAGUACAAGGUGUGCAGAUCACCAAGGGGUAUUUAAAAAAAUAAAAAUAAAAAAUAAAGUACAAGGUGAAGGAGCACGUGCUGAUACAGAAGUUGCAGCAAGUUAUCCAGAAGAUCUAGCUAAGAUCACUGAGGAAGGCGGCUACACUAAACAACAGAUUUUCAGUGGAGACACAACAGCUUUCUAGUGGAAGAAAAUGCUACCUACGGCUUUCACAGCUGGAGAGGAGGAGUCAAUACCUGGUUUCUAAGCUUCAGAGGACAGGCUGAACUCUCUUGUUAAGGGCUAAUGCAACUGGUGACUUUAAGUUGAAGCCAAUGCUCAUUUACCAUUUUGAAAAUCCUCAGGCUCUUAAGAAUCAUGCUAAAUCAACUCUUCCUAUAAAUGAAAUAACAUUUCACUAUUUCUAUAAAUGAAAUAACAUUUCACUAUUUCUAUAAAUGAAAUAACAUUUCAUUAUUUCUAUAAAUGAAAUAACAAGGCUUGAAUGACAGCACAUCUGUUUACUGGUUUACAGUAAAGAGCACAUCUGGUUUACUGAAAAUUUAAACCCACUGUUGAGACCUACUGCAGAGAAAAAAUGAUUCUUCUCAAAAUAUGACUGCUCAAUGACAAUGCACCUGAUCACCUAUGAGCUCUGAUGAAGAUGUACAAGGAGAUUAACAUUGUUUUCAUGCCUGCUAACACCAACAUUCAUUCUGCAGCCCAUGGGCCAAGGAAUAAUUUAGACUUUCAAGUCUUAUAAUUUAAGAAAUACAUUUUCUAAGGCUAUUGCUGCCACAUAUAGUGAUUCCUCUGAUGGAUCUGGGCAAAGUAAAUUGAAAACCUUCUGGAAAGGACUCACCAUUCUAGAUGCCAUUAAGAACAUUUGUGAUUCAUGGGAGAAGGUCAAAAUAUCAGUACUAACAGGAGUAUGAAAGAAGUUGAUACCAACCCUAGUAGAUGACUUUGAGGGGUUCAGGACUUCAGUGGAGGAAGUCAUUGCAGAUGUGGGAAUAGCAAGAGAACUAGAAUUCCAUGGGCAUCCUGAGGAUGUGACCGAAUUGCUGCAAUCUCAUAAAAUGAAUGGAUGAGGAGUUGCUUCUUAUGGAUGAGCAAAGAAAGUGGUUUCUUGAGAUAGAAUCUACUCCCGGUGAAGACACUGUAAACAUUGUUGAAAUGACAACAAAAGAUUUGUAAUAUUCCGUAAACUUAGUUGAUAAAGCAGCAGCUGGGUUUGAGAGAAUGGACUCUAAUUUUGACACAAGUUCUACAGUGGGUAAAAUGCUAUCAAGCAGCAUUGCACGCUACAGAGAAAUCUUUUACGAAAGGAAGAGUCCUUCGAUGCAGCAAACGUUAUUCUUGUCUCAUUUUAGGAAAUUGCCAUAGCCGUUCUGACCUUUAGCAACCACCACCCUGAUCUAUUAGCAGCCAUCAACAUCAAGGCAAGACCCUCUACCAGCAAAAAGGCUCAGAGGAUUUUCAGCAUUUUUUGGCAAUAAAGCAUAUUUUAAUUUAGGUAUGCACAUUGGUUUCUCAUAAUAGAUAUACUGCUAUUGCACACUUAGUAGACUACAGUAUAAAUAUAACUUUUAUAUGUACUGGGAAACCAAAAAAAUACAUAUGACUUGCACAAUAAAGUGAUAUUCGCUGUAUUGAAUUGGUCUGGAACUGAACCACCAACGAACCUGCAAUGUCUCCGAGGUAUGCCUGCACCGCCUAGGAAAACUUAAGUGCCCACUAUUGAGAGGUGCUGCAAUUGCUAAUCAUUGCUAAUCCUGCUCGCCUGUCUUUUGCUUGGAGGACCAGGACUGCCUCUGACACUUCCUUGUAUAGUGUGCUUAGCAAAAAAGAUGUUCCAUAACUACUUGGGGGUAAGGAUGUGAUUUGUUUUUGUUUCGCUUCUCCUUUUUGGGGAUAUUUACUUCCUCUGAAAAUCAAAUGUGUUCUCAAGUGUGUUUCAGUGUAAUAAACCAGGGUGGUUCAUUUGAAAUUAUGGUGUGGCAACAAGCCAGUCAGUUUGAGGGGAAAUCUGAUCCCACACUGGUCUUCUCAGCCACAGUCCCAGCCUGGGCUUCUGCUGUCAUCCCAGGUGGCAGUCUGCAGACAGGUGUGCACUCAGCAGGAGGCUUCUGGGACUUCAGUCCAGAGAUGACUCCAGUGGACAGCCAGCAUGGAGAACCACUGGGCAAGAGAAAGAGGCUCCAGGUUGGAAUGCAGGGAAACACUUUCACGUAAGGAGCAGGUGGAGGAGAAGCCAGGUGAGGAGAUGAGAAAUGAUGAAGCAAAGGAGGCUGGGCACCGUGGCUUACUCCUGUAAUCCUAGCACUUUGGGAGGCCAAGGCAGGCAGAUCUCUUGAGCCCAGGGGUUUGAGACCAGCCUGGGCAACACGGCAAAACCCCAUCUCUACAAAAUAAUACAAAAAUUAGUCAGGCUUGGUGGUAUGCGCCUGUAGUCCCAACUACUCAAGAGGCUGAGAUAGGAGGAUCACUUGAGCCUGGGAGGUCAAGGCUGCAGUGAGCUAUGAUCGUGCCACUGCAUUCCAGCCUGGGUGAUACAGCAAGAACCUGUCUCAAAAAAAAAAAAAAAAAAAAAAAAAAAAAAAAAAAGCAGCAGAAGCAGAGGAGAAUCAGAAGAGAGAAUUUGUUUAUUCAGGAGGACACUAUCUACAGUAUUAAAACCUGCAGAAUGGCCAAGGAGAGCAAAAGCCCAGGGUUACCAUGAUCUGACAUUCAAGGCAGAGGACAGGAUGUUCAGACCUCACAGGCAGUGAGUGGAGACUGAGUCGUGGAAGAGAGUCCAUUGGUGGGGACAGAGAGAGGUCAGAACCCACUCCCAUGUCUCCUCCCCACUCUACGACUUUGCUCUUCCUGGUGGACACCAGCCAGCAAAUGCAGGUGACAGAAGCCUGGGAGAGGCCUGCUCCUGGAACCAGAGAACCAGCAGACCACCUGCACCAGGAGCUGUGUGAACUUGCAAUUGCCUGGAGCAACUUUUAGGAAACAUCAAAAACAACCUGAGAAAGCCUGGUGUGGUAGCCCAGGCCUGUCAUCCUAGGUCCUUGGGAGGCUGAGACAGGAGGAUCCCUUGAGCCCAGGAGUUCAAGUCUAGCCUGGGCAACACAGCAAGACCCUGUCUCUGAAACAAACAAGCAAACAAACAGAAAAUCCAAAACAAAAAGCAAAGAAACCAAGCUGAUAGAGACAGCUGUGGCUGUGAAGGCAGCUGAGGGGACGAGCUCCCAGGCAGAUCAGAUUCAGCCGAACCGCUGCUCCCUCGUCUGUUCCGGGCAGCCCUGGGCAAUGGAAGAGGCCGUGGCUUCUCAGGCUGGUUCUCACAGUCACUAGCCUAGAGACCCCUUUGUAAAGGGGGGAGGACACCCAUUCUGUUUCAUUGGCUUUGUAAGCGAUUAAGUGCCAGAUAGCAUGAGGGACACUGGGAUGCCCAGAGCCUUGAGUACAAGGCCUGCAGAAUCCACAAAGCCCACACACUAAAAUGACCAAGACAGGGUCCUUCCUACUUCGUAAUUGACUUCCUAUCUCGUAGAUGAACUGGAAUGAGUUAAAAUGAAAGGUGUUUCUAGCCCAUCUAAAGUAGAACUUCUUGAAAUAUCUGUGGGCAAGAUUCAAACAAUAUUUUAAAACAAUUUUAAUCCAUUGUGGACUGAUAUUUUUGUAAUGCAAUAUAAAGAAAUUACUGGAAAGAUGCAAUAAAAAACCAGAUUCCAACAGAAUUACUCAUCACAUUUCCAUCAAUGUUCAUAUUCUCUCUUGAUUUCUGUACUCAUCUUGCUGCAGACCGAUAAGAAGCCCCGUCUGUGAGCAGGCUUGGGUGUGAGUAGGGUUGAUCUAUCUUCUCACUGCUCAAUGUCAACAGGUGGCAUGGACAUCACCUGGGAACUUGCUAGAACUCUAGCCUCUUGGGCCUCAUCCCAUUUCUGCUAAACCAGAAUCUGCUUUUUUGACAAGAUGCCCAACUGAUUCGUGUGCAUGUUAAAGUUUGUGGUGACACCCAUGGCAGCUAAGACUCAGGAAUGUUUUGCAGAAUGAAGGAAUUAACCAAAACCUCUACUCCCGAACCUCAAUUUCCCAUGACGUAAGAGCUAGUGACACAGACCUUCUUUCUGAUGAGCAGGACCAGCUAUGUAAUUUGCAGAGCCCACUGCAAAAGGAAAAGGUGGGGGCUCCUUUUAAAAAAAUCUUUGAGGGUUUCUAAGGUGGCGACA